CUGGUUCAGGAUGAACGCUAGCUACAGGCUUAACACAUGCAAGUCGAGGGGCAGCGAGAGGAAAGCUUGCUUCCUUGUCGGCGACCGGCGCACGGGUGAGUAACGCGUAUCCAACCUUCCCCAUAGUAGAGGAUAGCCCGGCGAAAGUCGGAUUAAUACUCUAUGUUGUGUCAUGAGGACAUCUGAAUAACACUAAAGAUUUAUCGCUAUGGGAUGGGGAUGCGUCUGAUUAGCUUGUUGGCGGGGUAACGGCCCACCAAGGCGACGAUCAGUAGGGGUUCUGAGAGGAAGGUCCCCACAUUGGUACUGAGACACGGACCAAACUCCUACGGGAGGCAGCAGUGAGGAAUAUUGGUCAAUGGGCGUGAGCCUGAACCAGCCAAGUAGCGUGCAAGGAUGACUGCCCUAUGGGUUGUAAACUGCUUUUAUGCGGGAAUAAAGUCAGGUACGUGUACCUGUUUGUAUGUACCGCAUGAAUAAGGACCGGCUAAUUCCGUGCCAGCCGCUGC
RNAcentral lists this ribosomal RNA (509 nucleotides) under uncultured bacterium. RNAcentral's name for it is "bacterial SSU rRNA". It matches the Rfam family "Bacterial small subunit ribosomal RNA", at positions 19 to 518 of the family's 1533-position model. The record is from RNAcentral.